GGCCGCGGGAAUUCGAUUGGGCACGGGGGGAACGCGAAGAACCUUACCUACUCUUGACAUCCAGAGAACUUAGCAGAGAUGCUUUGGUGCCUUCGGGAGCUCUGAGACAGGUGCUGCAUGGCUGUCGUCAGCUCGUGUUGUGAAAUGUUGGGUUAAGUCCCGCAACGAGCGCAACCCUUAUCCUUUGUUGCCAGCGGUCCGGCCGGGAACUCAAAGGAGACUGCCAGUGAUAAACUGGAGGAAGGUGGGGAUGACGUCAAGUCAUCAUGGCCCUUACGAGUAGGGCUACACACGUGCUACAAUGGCAUAUACAAAGAGAAGCGACCUCGCGAGAGCAAGCGGACCUCAUAAAGUAUGUCGUAGUCCGGAUUGGAGUCUGCAACUCGACUCCAUGAAGUCGGAAUCGCUAGUAAUCGUGGAUCAGAAUGCCACGGUGAAUACGUUCCCGGGCCUUGUACACACCGAAUCACU
Molecule: ribosomal RNA, 471 nt
Filed under: uncultured Citrobacter sp.
Lineage: Bacteria; Pseudomonadati; Pseudomonadota; Gammaproteobacteria; Enterobacterales; Enterobacteriaceae
Description: bacterial SSU rRNA
Rfam family: Bacterial small subunit ribosomal RNA
Source: RNAcentral